AUUGAACGCUGGCGGCAGGCCUAACACAUGCAAGUCGAGCGGAUGAAGGGAGCUUGCUCCUGGAUUCAGCGGCGGACGGGUGAGUAAUGCCUAGGAAUCUGCCUGGUAGUGGGGGAUAACGUCCGGAAACGGGCGCUAAUACCGCAUACGUCCUGAGGGAGAAAGUGGGGGAUCUUCGGACAUCACGCUAUUAGAUGAGCCUAGGUCGGAUUAGCUAGUUGGUGGGGUAAAGGCCUACCAAGGCGACGAUCCGUAACUGGUCUGAGAGGAUGAUCAGUCACACUGGAACUGAGACACGGUCCAGACUCCUACGGGAGGCAGCAGUGGGGAAUAUUGGACAAUGGGCGAAAGCCUGAUCCAGCCAUGCCGCGUGUGUGAAGAAGGUCUUCGGAUUGUAAAGCACUUUAAUUUGGGAGGAAGGGCAGUAAGUUAAUACCUUGCUGUUUUGACGUUACCAACAGAAUAAGCACCGGCUAACUUCGUG
This 484-nucleotide ribosomal RNA is filed under the name uncultured bacterium. RNAcentral describes it as "partial 16S ribosomal RNA". It matches the Rfam family "Bacterial small subunit ribosomal RNA", at positions 30 to 507 of the family's 1533-position model. The record is from RNAcentral.